This is a long non-coding RNA of Gambusia affinis (western mosquitofish), 1299 nucleotides long. RefSeq lists it as uncharacterized. NCBI's taxonomy places the organism in Eukaryota, Metazoa, Chordata, Actinopteri, Cyprinodontiformes, Poeciliidae. The transcript is spliced from 3 exons. The record is from RefSeq and is a predicted model, not a curated record.
AGAUACAGGGGUGGCUGGAACGGAGGAGACAUGCAACUGCUAUUUGGUGCUGAACGUCAGUCCCUGUCGUCAGGAGGGUCGCUCGUCUUUAUGGCUGCUGGUUUUCGGAUGAAUGUGUCUCGGGGGAAGAACAGAGCGGGUGGCCAAGCAGCACCUCCGCCAGCGCAAGCUGUUCACCAUUCUUCAUAUAACAUCAUCAAAGUCGGUGAAAACAAGGCCCAUCAUUAGAACAGAGACAAAAACGCUGUGCCAUGAUGAAGAUGCUGGGAGGCGAUGACAGCACGAGAGCCACAAAGGCCUGUCGGAGACAAGAAGGUGGAAAAUAACUCACUGGCUUUAUGGCUCAAUCACAUAUAAUCAGUUUGUCCACAUCAGGACACUGCAGGCUCAGCUCCCAGGCCCGAGGGAGAAAAAAAUGACCUUUCUCCCCAAUACAUACAUUUGAGCAUGUUAUAUACAGAUAAAGGGAGUUUGAGCCACAUUUUCUUCUCAUUAUUCCUCUAUUAUUAAAUAAUGUAAACAACUGAAAAAAAGUGUUAUUUCAGUUUAUAUAAUGUCCUUGUUUAUUUUUUGUCAGAUAUUUGGCAGGUUAUCAUUGGAAAUGCUUCUUCUGCGCGCUCUUUGUAUUUUGAAACCAUUAUGCAGACCAAUGGUAAACCACAUUUCAUCAGAGUUUGUAAUCUCUCUCUCUUACGUUCGUCACAAACGACCAGGCAGGAAGCCGCUUCAGUAGAGGAAACUGGGAGGAAAGUCAGAAAAAACACCACAACAGUUUGGUUCAGUUGUAUAAAACUGACAGAGACAAAUUAGAGCUUAAAAAUUAACUAUAUAAUAUUUUCACUGGUUAGGUUACAUUCGAGUAAAACACUUAAAGGACAAAUAUCCCACAUGAACAGAAAGCAGAUGUGCCUGCUGAUAUCCAUAGAUUGAUUAAUUAAAUAUAAAUUUUCCUCCAAAUGUUCCUUCUGCAGGAUUUUUAUCCAUGAAAAUUAGCUGCAGUGGUGAGUAAUUUUUUUUCUCAGUGCCUGAGCCAAAUGAAUAUUAGAUUGUAUUUCAGAAAUUUACACUCCCUUUCUACUACUUGAAAAACUUGAAAUGUUGUGGAAAAAGCUAAACGGUGGACAGACUUUAGGAUUAAUUGGGGUCUAACAGAUGGAGUUCAGACAACUGCAAUACUGGAGUAUGAAUACAUUUUAUCACCUCUUUUAACCACAACACGGGUAUAAAUUUAAUAAUGAUAAUCACUUACAAUGACCACAAAAAAGACCCAUGUGUGAAAAACACAUUUUUAAUUGUACU